GGGCAUAUGGUGUAGGGGUUAUCACGUUCGCUUUGCAUUGGUUAUGCGAAAGGUCUCCGGUUCAAAUCCGGAUUUGUCCA
This is a non-coding RNA of Rhodocollybia butyracea, 80 nucleotides long. Lineage: Eukaryota; Fungi; Basidiomycota; Agaricomycetes; Agaricales; Omphalotaceae. The record is from the annotation of a GenBank genome assembly.